This 254-nucleotide ribosomal RNA is filed under the name uncultured bacterium. RNAcentral describes it as "partial 16S ribosomal RNA". It matches the Rfam family "Bacterial small subunit ribosomal RNA", at positions 524 to 776 of the family's 1533-position model. The record is from RNAcentral.
UACAGAGGGGGCGAGCGUUAUUCGGAAUUACUGGGCGUAAAGCGCGCGCGGGCGGUUAUGCAAGUCAGGGGUGAAAGCCCGAGGCUCAACCUCGGAACGGCCUUUGCGACUGCAUGACUAGAGACCGGGAGAGGAGAGUGGAAUUCCCAGUGUAGAGGUGAAAUUCGUAGAUAUUGGGAAGAACACCAGUGGCGAAGGCGGCUCUCUGGCCCGGACCUGGACGCUGAGGCGCGAAAGCGUGGGGAGCAAACAGG